Molecule: long non-coding RNA, 14982 nt
Organism: Manis pentadactyla (Chinese pangolin)
Lineage: Eukaryota; Metazoa; Chordata; Mammalia; Pholidota; Manidae
Exons: 3
Source: RefSeq, a predicted model, not a curated record
UCCAUCUGGUCUAAUGUGUAAUUCAAUGGUUCUAUUUCUUUUUUUAAUUUUCUUUCAGGAUGAUCUAUCCAUUGAUGUAAAUGGGGUCUUAAAGUACCCUGCUAUUAUUGUGUUGCUGUCAAUUUCUCCCUUUAGGUCUGUUAGUAUUAGUGGUAUAUAUUUUGGUGUUCCUCUACUGGGUGCAUACAUAUUUGUGAUUGUUAUAUCCCCUUUUUGGCCCCCUUAUUAUCAUGUAAUGUCCUUCUUUGUCUCUUGUUACUUUCUUUUUCUUGAAGUCGAUUUGUCCGAUAUUAGUGUUGCGACUCUAGCUCUUUUUUUUUUCAUUCUUUAUUUGCAUGACAUAUCUUUUUCCAUCCUUUUAGUUUCAGUCUGUGUGUGUCUUUAGAUCUGAAGUGAGUCUUUUGUAGGCAGCAAAAAGAUGGUUCUUGUUUUCUUAUUUUUAAACCAUUUGGUCAACAUAUUUCUUUUGAUUGAAGCAUUUAACCAUUUACAUUUAAUUUAAUGAUUGAUAUGUAUGCAGUUUUGUCAUUUUGUUAAAUGUUUGGUGGGUAUUUUUCUUGUUCUUCUCUGAUCCUGUCUUCCUCUCUUGCUCUAUUCUCUUAUGUUUUUAUAACUUUCUUUGCUAUUAUGGUUAGGUUCUCUUCUCUUUGUUUUUUUGUGUAUCUACUGUAAGAUUUUGGUUUGUGGGUGUUGUGGGGUUCUUAUAUGACAUCCUAUGAAUACAACAUCUUAUAUUCACAUCUUAUGAAUAUAAAAACCUAUAAUAAACUGAUGGCCACUUAAGUUCAAGCACAACCUAACAGCAUUGCAUUUCUUACUCCCCCUUGUCUAUAUUUGAUGUAUAUAAUAUCUUCAUUUACACCUUUUUAUUAAGCAAUUUCCUUAACUAAGUUUUAGGUAUAAUUGCUUUUGCUGCUUUUUUCUUUUUGACCUUCAUACUAGCUUUAAAAUAGUUGACAUAAUACCUCUGCUCUUUGUUUGCUUUACCAGGAAAUUUUCCCCUUUCUUAAAUUUCUUCCUUCUACUAGGGUCUUUUCCUCUUAAAGAAGUCCCCUUAACAUUUCUUGUAAGGCUGAUUUAGUAGUUGUAAACUCUGAUGCUUAUCUGUGAAGUUCUUUAUCUCUUCUUCAAUUCUGAAUGAUAACCUUGCUGAAUAGAAUAUUUUUGGUUGGAGGUUUUUUCCAUUCAGCACUUUGAAUAUAUCAUGCUAUUCCCUUCUGGCUUGCAGGGUUUCUGCAGAAAAAUCCACUGGAAACCUUAUAGGGUGUCCCUUACAUGUAACUCACUGCUUUUUCUGCUGCUGAUGUUAGGAUUUUGUCUUUGACUUUGAACUUUGACAUUUUGAUUACAAUGUAUCUUGCUGUGGACCUCCUUGGGUUUAUCUUAUCUGGAGGUCUCUGUGUUCCCUGGACAAGGCAGAUGUUUUCUUCCCCAGAAUAGGGACGUUUCCAGCUAUUAUCUCUUCAAAUAAAUUUCUACUCCCUUCUCAUUCUCUUCUCCUCUUGACCCCUGUGAUGAGGGUGUCAGUGUGUCUGAUGUUGCCCUGGAGCUCGCCCACCCUGUCCUCAUUUCCUUUAAGUCCUCCUCCCUCCUCUUGAGCUCGAGUGAUUCCCAACACUCUACCCUCCACGUCACUGACCCAUUCUUCCUCACCCUCCAGUCAGCUGUUCAUUCCCUCUGGUGUAUUUUUUACUUCAUCUAUUGAAUUUUUCAUCUCUGAUUGGCUGGUUUUUAAGCUUUCUAUCUCUGUAGAGGUCCACCUUGAGCUCUGUUAAUGUUUUUUCAAGUCCAAUGAGUGUCUUUAUCACAUCUUUAAAUUCUUUAUCAAGUAGAUUGGUUAACGCUGUUUCAUUUAGUUUCUUUUCUGGGCUUUUUUUCUUGUUCUGUCAUUUGGAGCAUAUUCCUCUCUUUCCUCAGUUUGUGUGACUUUCUGUGCUUGGUUCUUUGAAGUAGUUGAAAGGACUCACUCUCACAGUCUUGAUUGGCCUUAUGUGGGAGAGUCCCCUGUGGGACUGCAUGUGUGUGCCUCACGGUUUUCACAAGCUGGAGACCCAGUCAGUGUGAGACAGGCUUUUCCUGGUGCUGAGGCUCCCAGGGUGUGGUCCUGGCUGUGAAGCCUUCAGGGCCCAUUGGAGGGGUUCCUGGGUGGACACCUGUGAUUUUGUGUUGGCAAUGAGAGGGUGGUGGGCCAGCAUCAGGUUGGGUGUGCCCUCCGGGUAACUCCUGGUUUGGCCCCAGGUGAGUCCUCCUUGCCUCCUUACCUAUAUGCCAGUGCACACUCUAGGCCACUGGGGAUCACUCCAGAGAAUUCCUGUAUCAAGCACCCACCAGGUAUCACUGCUGGCAUGGAGUCAGGCUCUGUGCACAUUACGUCUUCAUCCCUGCAUGCUCUAUGCUGCUCCUGGAAAUUCCCAUGUUCAUGCCUGUUAGUCCCAGUGGCAGCUGGAUCAGGGACCAUGUGUGUGCAUAUUCCCACAGCCCCUGUGGACUCUGACCUGCUCCAGGAAAUUCCCACAUCAGUGCCUACUGGGUCCCACUCAUGAUCAGGAGUCAGGCUCUGCACACAGGUUCCCUCAUGGUGUGCUAACGAGUUGCCUUGGCAGCACCAGCCUGAGGAUUCAUGCACCCUCCCUGUGAUCCAGGGAACUUCCUGGUCCUUCUGUUGGGGAUGGGUGGGUGGGUAACAGUGGGCAGCAAGUAAGGACUGGUGGAUCUCCUGCACAUACCCCUGGGUAUGGGCAAGUGUCAGGGGGCUGUGCAGACCAAGUCUGAGAUUGGUGUGUGCACCCAGACCCUGCCCCUGGCCACACUGAGGUGUGAAGAAGACGUGCCAACAAUGGCACUGGCCAGCUCCUCUGAUCCUGGGUCACCUCCAACAGCUUCCUUGCUGAGCAGUGGGUGCUUAGUUCUGGAACUUAGGUUCUUUCACUUAUGGUCUAGAUGCACUUUAAAUCCCAAGGCUCUUCUCCUGUGCCUCAGGGCAGGUGCCCACAGGCGGAUCCCUCAGGAAGAUCCCAACCCCUCCCCGCUGCUGGUGGCUAUGCUGGGGGAGGGGGCCCCAUGUUUACAGUGUCUUUGUCUCUCCUGCUGUUUGGGGUUUUUUAAAUGUAAUCUUCUGUCCUUCAUUUACAGAGAGUGUUCACUUUGGUCCCCAUUCUUCUUCCCGGUGAAAUACUCAGUAUGUAGAUACAGAUGCUGUGUGUAGGUAGGAGGUGAUUCAGGCUCUCUCUACUCCACCAUUUUCCCAGAAUCCUCCCAUUAUCUUUUUUCUUACCUAUUUUAGGAUCUUUUUGCAAACAAAAAAACCCUAUCUGUUAUAUGCAUAACUAAUUUUUUUAUAGAUUUCCACUAGUUUUUAGACCUUGUUUUAUCUGUAUGCAUAUGCACAUAUAGGGAGAGAGGGGGGAUGUCUUUGAAUUUUAUGUAGUCAAUUUACCAAUCAUUUCAUCUUUUUGUGUUUUUUUUGUCUUUUCUUCUAUGUUUAAAAAAUCGAAAUCAAAAUUAAGUGAAUGAUAUUUGCGGUUAUCCCUUCCCUUAACAGCAGAGGUCCCCCAUCUGUGCCUCUCCUGGAUUCUCCAAAGUUGGCUGUGGGAGGAGAAUCUCCAGCUGGGGGAACAACUGACAAACAGAACAACCCUGUCCUUCAGUUCUGACUUCCUUAUGGCCUCCCUGUCACUGUCCCCACCACACUGUCUCUUUGGGUUUCAGCCUCUCCAGCCCUGCUCUGCGGUCCAGUCUGGAAAGUUGGAAGCUCCGUCCCUCAGACGGCCCCCAGGGGGCCAUGCGACUUGGUUGUGGCUUUGUUUCAAAGGAAGGUCCCCUUGCGGAAAGGUGAGACGGCUACAGCAGCACUGACGGUGAAACCUCUGAUAGACACCUGGUCUUUCUGGCCAGGACCCAGGAACCAUGGACCUUGGAGCCAGACAGGAUGGGGAGAAUCUCAGAGCCUGGGCAGGUCUGUGUUUUGUGAGCCCCUGGACAACUGCUUAAAAGAAGAAAUGCAGCCAAAAGCAAUCGGUAAAUUAAAAUGAAAUACUAAAUUUAUUACAAACAAUAAUCUACUGUUAACAGAGUAGAUAAAAAAACAAGACACUACUUCAUUCUGCCUGAAAAGACACACUUAGAAUCUAAAGACUUAGAAUAUAAAGAAUAUAAAGAAAGAUUAAAAGAAAAUGGAUGGAGAAAAGAUCAUGCAAACUGUAAGCACAAGAAGAAUGAGAUGACUAUUUUGAAUAUUACAUAAAAUAAACUUAAGACAAGAUCAGAAAUAGACAGGGAUAUUUCAUAAGGAUAGAAGGCAUACACAGUUUAUCAGAGAGACAUAACAAUUAUAAAGAGGUUGGCUUUAAUAACAGAAUCUCAAAAUACAUGUAGCAAAAUUAAUAGAAUGAGAGGAAGAAAUAUAUAAUCUAUAAUUAUAGUAUUUUAUGCGUAACACACCCCUUCCAACAAUUGACAGGAAAACUAGACAAAAAAAAAUCAGUAAAGCCACCAAAUAUCUGAAUAACACUGUUGACUACUUUGAUGUAACUGAUAUUUAUAGAACACUACAUUCAACAACUGUAGAAUACUUAUUUUCACAAGUACACAUGGUGUAUUCACCAAGACGGAUUGCAUGCCUUGCCACAAAACAAGUCUCAAUAAAUUUAACAGGAUUUAAAUAAUAUAGAGUGUAUUUUCUGGCCACAAUAGAAUGGAAUUAGAAAAUAAUAAUAAGAUAACCAGGAAAAACAUAAAUACCUGGAAAUGAAAUAACACUUUUCUGAAUGAUUCAUGGACCAAAAAUCACAAUGGAAAUUAGAAAAUAUUUUUAACUGAAUGACAAUGAAUACAACAUACCAAAGCUUAUAGGAUGCAGAGAAAGCAGUCCUUGGAGGGAAUCUAUAGAUUGAUAUAUUUAUUUUAGAAAGGAAGAAAGAUUUAAAAUCUAGGACUAAGAUUCUACAUUCAUAAACUAGGAAAGGAAAAGCAAAGUAAACACAAAGUAAGUAGAAGGAAGGAAAUUAUAAAGAAGUGGGAAUAAAUCACUGAAUGAGAUCACACAAUACAGAAAAUCAAUGAAACCAAAAUCUGGUUCUUUGAAGAGAUCAAAGAACUGACAAAGUUUUAGCAAGACUGAUGAAAAAAAAGGGAGAGAAUUCAAACCACCAGCUUUAGGAACAAAGGAGAGGUUAUCAAAUACAGGUGCUUCAAGAAUGAGAAAGAUAAUAAGAAAAUGCUAGACAAUUUUUUUCCUAAAACAUUAGAAAACAGAAAAAAUAGACAAAUUUCUUGAAAAAUACAAUUUACCAAAAUCAACAAAAAUGAAGACAAUCUAAGUAGUCCUAUUAUAUUUAUUAAAGAAAGUAAAUUUAUUAUUAAAAGCAAAUCCUACUGAGAAAACUCAAGGUUCCAGUGGUUUCAAUGGUGAAGUCUGUGAAAAAUUAAAUAAAGGAGUAAUAAUUACCUUAUACAAACUUUUAAAAAGAUAGAAGGAAUCACUGCUCAACUUAUUGUAAGAUAUCAGUUUACCUUGAUAUCAAAACAUUAAAAAACAUUACAAGAAAAGAAAAUUACAGAUCAAUAUCCCUCGUAACUAUAGAUACAGAAACAUUAAUGAAAUAUUAGCAAAUUGGCAAAAUGAGUGAAGAGGGUCAACAAGUACAAACUUCCAGUUAUAAAAUAAGUAAGUCCUGGGGAUGGAAUGUAUAGCAUGGUGAUUACAGUUAAAAAUACUGUAUUAUGUAUUUGAAAGUUUCUAAAACAGUAGGCCUUAAAAAUCUUCAUCACAAGAAAAACUUUUGUAUCUAUCUAUGGUAACAGAUAUUGUUAGACUUACUGUGAUGAUCAUUUCACAACAUAUAUAAAUAUCAAAUCAUGUUGUAAAAUGAAACUAAUAUAAUAUUAUAUGUCAUUACACUUCAAAAAAUUUGUCGAAGGGGAGUGGGUGGGGAGGGAGGGAGAAGGGGAUGAAGGGACAUUAUGAUUAGCACACAUAAUGUAGGAGGGUCAUGGGAAGGCAGUAUAACACAAAGACAAGUAGUGACUCUAUAGCAUCUUACUACGCUGAUAGUGAUUAAAAUGGGGUGUGGGGGGAAUUGAUAAUAUGAAUGAGUGUUGUAACCACAAUGUUGCUCAUGUGAAACCUUCAUAAGAUUGCAUAUCAAUGAUAGGUUAAUAAAAAAAUAAUAAAUAAAUUCACACGCACACACACACAAAUUGUCAAAUGGAAUCCAGCAAUAUGUAAAAAGGAAGAUACAUCAUGAUCAGUUAAUAAUUUUUCCUAGGAAUGCAAGUUUGGUUUAACACUUGAAUCAGUGUAAAUCACUGCAAUAACAAAACACACUAGAAAAACCAUAUGACCAUUUUAAUAGAUGAUGAAGAAGCAGUUGAUGAAAUUCAACACUCCUUAAUGAUAUCAACUUUCAGUAAACUAGAAAUAGUGGGGAUCUUACUCAGAUUGAUAAAGGACAUCUACAUAAAACCCACAGCUGACAUCACGCUUCCUGUUGAGCCUGGGAAGGAGGCAAGAACAUGCUUUCACCACUUGCUGCAGUGUAAUGAACGUGGUGGUCAGAGGUCAACAGAUGCACUUGCCGUCUUACCUUGCUAUUUCAAAAUAAUAAGCUUGAGCAGUUUAUUUAUUUAUUCUCAGUUUAAAAUUUUUUCUUAUUGAAGUGCCGUUGAUAUACAAUAGUAUACUGGUUUCAGGUGUAGAACAUAGUGAUUCAACAAUUAUACUCAUUAUGAAAUGCUCACCACAAUAAAUGUAGUUACCAAAUGUCACCAAAGAUACUACAAAAUUAUUGAUUUUAUUCCCUAUGCUUUACUUUUCACCCCCAUGACUUAUUUAUUUUAUAAUUGGAUGUUUGUACCUCUUAUCCCUUUACCUGUUUUGCCCAUUCCCCCAGUUCCCUCCCCAUGGAAACCACCAGUUUUUCCCUCAUGUUUUUGAGUCUAUUUCGGUUUUGUUUGUUAAUUUGUUUUACUUUUUAGAUAACAGAUAUAAGUGAAAUCAUAUGAUAUUUGUCUUUCUCUGUCUGACUUAUUUCACUCAGCAUUAUACUCUCUAUGUCCAUCCAUGUUGCUGUAAAUGGUAAGAUUUCGUUCUUUUUAUGGUUGAGUAAUAUUCCAUUGUAUAGAUGUACCACCUCUUCUUUAUCCAUUCUUCUAUUGAUGGGCACUUAGGUUGCUUCCAUAUCUUGCCUAUUAUAAAUAAGGCUGCAAUAAAUAUAGGGGUUCAUAUACCCUUUUGAUUAGUGAUUUUGUUUUCUUUGGGUAAACUCCUGAAAGUAGAAUUACUGGGUCAUAUGAUAUUAGGACUGCAUCAAACUAAAAAGCUUCUGCAUAGCAAAUGUAACCAUCAAUAAAACAAAAAGGCAACCUGCUGAGUGGGAGAAUAUAUUUUCAAAUGAUAUCAUUUGACAUAAGGGGUUGAGAUCCAAAAUAUGUAAAGAACUCAUAAAACUCAACACCAAAAUAACAAAUAAUCUAACUUAAAAAUGGGCAGGACCCCAUUUUCAGAGGACCUGAAGAGACAUUUUUCUGAAGGCAACACACAGAUAACCAACAGAUACCUGAAAGAUGCUCCACAUCACUAAUCAUCAGGGAAAUGCAAAUCAAAACCACGUGAGAUAUCACCUCACACCUGUCAGAACAGCUAGUAUCAAACUACAAAAAAGAACAAGUGUUGGCAAGGAUGGGGAUAAAAGGGAACCGUCAUGCACUGUUGGUGGGAAUGUAAAUUGGCCACUAUGGAAAAUAGUAUGGAGUUUCCUAAAAAAAUUAAAAAUAGAAAUACCAUGUGACCCAGCAAUUCCAUUUUUGAGAAAUUUAUUUGAACUCUCUGAGGCUUAGUUUUUGCAUCUAUGAAAUGAGUAUAAUAGCCAAGAGGCUUCAUAAAUAUCACAUGUAUACCUAUCUAGUAGAGUACAGGCUCUCUGAAUGCAGAAACCAUUUCUCUUAUUUACUUCCAAGUCUUCAGUGCUUAACUCAAUACCUGGCACAUAGUAGAUAUUAUGCAAAAUAAAUUGACUUAAAUUAUUGGGAUUAAAACACUGAUAAAUGGGACCUUAAAGAUUCUUUAGCUUCCUAAAUGAAAUCCCAAGGCUAGGCCAUUUCCACUGAAAUACAGCUCUUUAAAAAUUUGGUGAACUUUGUAUUAAGUCAUUUAUUUUUGCUUGAUACUUGGUUGGUUUUGGAGAGUCCUGUUAAUCAUGUAUGCUUUGAUGACAAUGUCAGAGAUAAGACAAAUGCUUUGGCAUUGAACUCAGGACCCUCUCUUUGACAUCUUUUUGCUACUCAGUUAAGCAGUCCUGCACCCAGGCUAACUGCUUUCCCCUCUCUUCCUAAAACGUUCUUGCACUGCACCACUCCAGCCUUUGCUUAGGUCAUCUGUUCUGCCUGAAAGGCCUCCUUCCCUACUCCCUUCAAUGAACGUCCUACCCUAUCUUGAAGGCCUUCCCGUUAGGAGACCUUCUCUCAUUUGACAUUGACUUUGCUAUAAACGUUAUUUCCCUUCCCUGAGCUUUAGUGGAAAUAUAAUUAAGAAUAAAAAUAUCCUGCCAAUGCAGAAAUUACUCUCCACAAAACAUAGGCAAGGAAAAAAACAGUUUUAUUAUUGAAAAACCACAAAACCACAAGCUCUCUGCUAUAGACAAAAAGAAAUGCUACCCUUCUAUGCAGCCAACCAGGUGUACCCCAUUACAGCCGUAUUUUGAAGCUAAAUGAUAAUAAGUCCUCAAGUAAGAAGACUUGACAACACCAUUUGUCAUACAUACAUAGGGCAUCCUAAAUUUACCUGGUAAUUGGGGUGGCCAUCUGUAUUUACUAAUUGUCUUUAUUCAAAGGAAAAAUAACUUCACAUCUUUACAAGAGGUAGUUCCACAGGCGCCUUGCCAAAGUUAGGGUCUUACUCUUUCAUGGAAACUGGGAGAUAAGGGGGCCAUUUCUCUUGAUGAUUAUAUUGUAAAGAGAUGGCUCCCAGAUCUGAGGAAAGUAUUCUGGGGUUGUAAACCUGGUAAGAGGCUUAUUUAGCUUUGAAAAGAUUUACAUACAUCUCAAAGAUAGGUGAAUUUUGAAAUACAAAUUUUCUAAAGUAAAUACUCUGAGAAAAGGGAGGUGAGAAGUCUCUUCCUUUAUCUGUACUAAGAGAAUUUUUCCUUAGUUUUAAUUUGUAUUUGCCCUUACAAACUCACAUAGCCUCUUUUGUUAAUGCCAUUAAAAUGCUACUACCUUGAUGGAGGAUUCCGAAGGUACUCAUCUCUUUUUCCUGCUGGCAUAAAAUAUGUCCUGUGCAUGUGAGCUGUGAUACCUGUGUCCCACGUACAUUAUUGGAGGUUAACUUAAACUAGCUGAUUAAUCAUUAUUCCUGUGUGCUGGAGUAGCCAAGGUUUGGUUAUAUUUCAAAACCACUUUACUUUCAAAUAUGAACCAUCUAUUCUGUUAUUACAGUCUAGGUUUACUGUUAUUACAGUUUUAAGUUUACUUUGAUAAAUGCACUUUGGAGGAAAGAAGAAACAAAUCAAUUCUGAGGCCAAGUUUUUCAUAAUACUAAGUUCUGUUUAAUAUUUCAUAACGGCUUCUCAAUGCCACAGUUACGACCUUCAGUGUAGAAGGGAUGGCACUGAAGUCAUGCAUCGUAUACUGGUAUACCUAGAAGAGAAAUGAUCCAAAAUUUAAUCCAGUUAGACUUUUAGCAGCUGGAAUUCUCCAGGAGAUUUAUCCCCUCAUGCUUACAGUGUUAGUACCUGGUAGCAUGUUAGAAGUGCACAUUCUCAGGCUCCCUACACCUUCUCAAUCAGAAGCUAUGAAGUUGCAGUCCAGCAUCUGUGAUUUGGAUAUUCGCUAAGUUGAGAACCACUGACCUAACAUAUCCUUUGCAUGACACACAAUAAAUUCUUUCGAGUCUAGAAUCAUACUAGCUAUGUACCAUUCUUGGGAGAUUUGAGGAAAUUGUCCUCAAAUAAUCAUUUUUGUGUUCUGUGGCUGAGGUUAAGAAAGGCUAGGAUAUUCAGCUUUUUCAGACUGCUGCCCACCCUACAGUAACACCAAUACACAGGACAACUGGGUGACAUGUCCAGGACCUGGCAUCCUAGGCUUUCAUCUGUAAGGUUUCUAUUUAGCCCCGUCUCUGGCUUCUACCAUCAAAUCAUAAUAAUCCCCAGUCUCUCUGGCUCUCAUCCCUUGGGAUGUUGUGGUCUUCUGUGGACUGGCCUCUACUGACAUUCUUGGAAAUGGCCUCCCUCGGAGCCUGGGAGACACACCACGUGCAUCUGACGGGACCUGACUCUCUUCCUGAUGCUGGUUCUGGGGGACUCAGUAGUAAGAAACUAGUACCAAUGGCUGCAGAGUUGGAAGGAUGCCAUGUAUACAUAAUUUAGCAAAGUCAAGUAAAACCUAAGGACUUCAAUAGUGAAUCAAAUUGUGAGGAAAAGAAAGGAUAAAGUCUUCACUCUUUGAGGGCUUGCCGAUUUGUUAACAACUAUGGCAGCUUGCAGCGCGUAUACUUCGGAAAGGAAAGCCAAGUAAAAUGGGGGAAGCUGUUCCCUGCAGGGGAACAGCUGAGGAGAAGUCCCAGAGAAGGUGGCAAGAGAAGAAGAGACUUAAGUGAACAUGCCUAAUGAGAAUUUUUAAUAGUUUGCUUUGUGGCAUAUAAUGUCCUAUUCUAUUUCCCCUGCAAACAUCUUCAACAAAAUCUGCAUUGCUCAUUAAUGCAUUUAAUAUGAGUGAAUUCUCUCUAGGGAAGGCAACCAGUGCUGAGUUGAAGGUAGUCAAACACUGUAAAGAACAAAAACAGAGACUCCAUAUGGGGACACAUGCCCUCUCGGUCUUUAAUAGUGGAGAUUUAAAUCAUUUCCACAAAGAUGAUGACUCCUGGCUAUUUUCCAGCUCUCUUAAGGCCAUAAUAGAGAGAAUGGUUUAAAAAGUAAUUCAGAGAUUAUGUUGAUUUACAAAGAAUUUCCUAACAGUGGUACUACUGAAUAUUGGUAUGAUUUUAAGAAGGGUAUUCAAGAAUCAAAUGGGGGCAGGAAAUUUCUCUCACCUCUUUCUCUGGAGUGUGGCUGCUUUUCAUGAUCCAUUUUCAUUUGACCAAGAAGGUAGGAAUACUACCCCAGUCCUGGACUGUUCUAACCAGAGUGAGGACUGCAUCCUAGCCAUUCCCCAUCCUCAGCGGGGCAGGAUCCAGCUGGAGAAACUCAUUCUCCACUAGCUGGGGCGCUGUGAAGUGGUCUUUGGCUGCUGUUUCAAAGGCGGAGGGUUUCUCAAUACCCCCCACACAGUGCUCAUCUCCCCUCAACUUCCCAUGGUUCCAUGUGGAGCCUUUUUGCUUGGACCCAGCUAUCUUGACCUCGCAUGUUCACAUCCGCUACUUAAUACUGGUUUCCAAGAAUGUGAAAAAAUAUAUGCAAGAUAAUGAUUUUGUUUGGCUUAAGAAAGCAGACACAUCCUCCAGUUACAAGCAUCCACUUUCUUAGCCAGUUAGAUAAGAAAAACAACUUUAUUUCCAUCCCCACCCCUCUCAGUAAAAGCUUGUUAUCUACCCAGGACCUCAAGCCAGAAACCUAGGGGCCAGCUCUCGUGCUUCUCUUCCCAUCAUGUCCCACAGCAGAUGUACUGCCAAACCAGAGUGAUUUUACUUUCAGAUUACAGCCAGACCUUGGUCACUUCCCCCAUCCUCCCUGCCACUGCCCUCCUGCCCUGGGCUCCGUCCCCUCCUAUGUGGGCCACCACACUGCCUCCAGUCUGGUUUCCCUGCUUCGGUUCUCAUUUAGUCAUCACAAAGCAGGUAUGGUGCUCUGCUUCACAUGUAAAGGCAACCAUGUCAUUGUCCUUCGCUGAUGCCCCCAAACCUUCAAUGAUUUCUCAAUGUGUUUAAUAAAUUCCGAACUUCAGAACAUGCCUACAUAAUAUUUGACCCUGCUUACCUCUUUAAGCACAUUUUGUGUAUUUUCCUCCAGUGCUUUUGUUGACUAAACUGCUUGCCUAGUUCCACUGUAUUGGGAUGAAUGGUAUCUACAGACUUACCAAAGCCAGAAAUGGUAGUAGUCUAUAUAUAGCCUUAGCCUUAGAAUUAUUCUGACAGCUCAUACUUAACUGUACACCACUGGCAUUUCUUUUCCCUCACUAAAGCAUUUAACCUUAGAUAAACGCGUGCCGUGAAUUUAGCUACUGCAGUGAUAUGUGUUUACCAACUAAACUUGUAACCAUUCUCUACCUCUUCCAAAAUGGCAACUAUCUUUAGUUUCUUGAAGAAUCAUGCACAUAUUUGCCUAAGCAUGUUAAUUCUGGAUCUAUAACAGUAUAAAAUGUAUCACACAGGCAAAGCAAAUAUAAUAUGUAAACAUAUCAUAUCAAAUAUCUUAUACCUGCCUUCAUCACCAUGGAAGAGAAUCAGACCUUAAAAAAAUCCUUGAUUUUCUUUAAUCUUUAUCUUAGAAUUUUCUGUGUGAUUGCUCAAUGUUAUAUAUUUUAUGGAAAAACAGCUGGAAAAUGCUGCAAAUCAUAGCUAAGCCAAAAAGUCUGGUGUGCUUCCCUUUAACCCAGAGGAUGGACAGUCUGCAUGGGACUUGUGUGAGAGAAGUGGUGGAAGGAACACAUCUGAUUUGGCAUAUUAAUCACUGCACACACUGGUGAUUUUCAUGUUUCCUCAUCUCAGGUGGCAGAAUCAAAUUGGGUAAUUUGAAAAGAGUUUAAUAAAAAAAAAAGUGCUUACAAAUGUAUAGAUAGGGUUGAGAAAAAGCUGGAAGGAAAGGUAUGGGGCUUUGGGAUAUUUGAAUAUAUAAAUUUCUGUUGAGUUUGGGUUUAUUUGUUACAGCAGUUAGCCUAUCCUAAUACAUAAGUGAUCUUUAAAAAUUUAUAAUUAAAAAGUACACAUUAUCUAUGUCCAUUUCUAAAUUAAUUUUUAAAUUGGUAAUAAAUGUACAUGAAUCAAAAAUCUAAAGGAAUAAAAAGUCUGAAGUAUUAAGUCUCUCUCCCCCAUCCCUUGCAGGCAAUCACUCUAAUUCAUUAAUUGUGAAUCUUCCAUAGACAUAUUAUAAAUAAGCAAACAAAAUUAUUCUUUUGUUUUCCUUUUUUUGGGCACAAAUCUUAGUAGAACUUUCCUUACUCUGUAUCAGUUUCUGUUCUAAGAAUUUUACUUUAAGCUCAUUUAAUCCUCUGUAAGGUAGCUACUUUUAUAACCCCUAAUUUAUGGAUGAGAAAACUGAGGAAUACAUGAUUUGCUUGAGAUCACACAGCUAAUAAGCACAGGGGGUGGGAUAUGAACCCAGGCUUUCUGAUUUCUGAUCCCAUCUUCUUAACCACUGUAUUGUAGGGCUUCAGAGAUAACCAGAAUUAACAUAAUGAAUGUAUUUUAUCCUACAGUUGUUACAAAGAUGGUAUUGUACUGUUCCUGUAGUAUAAUAAUGUAUUUUUUUUAAUUCCAUUUAUUCCCUUCUGCUGGUUUGGGAAUUACAUACUUACUAUUUUUUUAGUCAUUGUUAUUAAAAAUAUAACACACAUAUUUAACAUAAAAUCUAUAAUUAGUAUUUCUAUUCUCAUUCAAAAUUCGCAUUUGCUUCUGUUGGGUAUCAGAUCGCACCACCAGCUUGGAAUGGAACCCCUUAAACUUGUAGAUCUGAGGAUUACCUAUACAGAGAGUAAAAUCUGAACCCAGACUCAUAUUAGAGCAAAGUUAUAACUAUCAUUUCUUAGAAAGUCUGUUGUUCAUUAUUAGUAUACUUUUUUCCACCCAGAAAAGGAGCAGAAAGAGCUCCUUCCCAUGUGGAUUCCAUGUUUCCAGCUAGACAGCUGCUCGAGGACCUUGUUCUGAGUGACUCCCGACAUGCUUCAGUCCAAGGGCUGCUCUCUAAUUCCCUGAAUCAAACGGCCAGAAUCCCCCGAACUCUGGGCUCCUGAAAUUGGUUUUUAUUCACAGAAGCACCAACCUCUGUCCAUCUUUGCCUACCUCUGUAUUUUAGCUUACUCUCUUCAUGUUUUUCUGGCCCUUUGGGAUUUCUUACACUGCGUGCGGAGCCCAGCGCUGCAUUGAAGAGCACGUUGUCCUGUCCCUGGUCGCUGGGCGUUUCAUGACGGAGGAGGGGGAGCUUCUCAGGCUGCCUCGUCUCCACGGUGCUCCGCGCAGGUCCCCUGAGGGAUAUUCUCGCAGGGCAAGCUCUGUACCCCUAGUAAGAGUAUUUUAGUGGAGUCUCAAUGAUCCUAUAAUAAAGACCAUGUAUCGUUGGCAUGGACUAUGAAGACCUCCUUAAUGUAGUGGUAAUUUUACAUUUGGUUGAGUUACCAUUUUAUCACCGUGGGUAGCCAGCCUCCGGGAUGGCGCCGGGAUUCUCACCCCUGGGGUCGGUGCCCUGGACGCUCCCCUCCCACGCCGGCUGGGGCUGACGCAGGGCCUAGGGCUCCGUGGGAAUGACCGCAUGCGCUCCCCGGUGACGCACUGUUGUUUCUGCCCUGCCCUCUCGGAUCCCUCGUUCUGGGAAAAGUAGGCUGCCUUGUCCCAUGGUCGCCCGCUCAGCCCCGGAGGCGGAGUCCCGGCGGCGAGGAGCUGCCGCAUCUUGCAUCGCCAGUUGAGCUUCCAUCGGCCAACAUCUCGACUCUUGCAGAAACUGAGACAGAACCAUGUAGCGAAACCACUUCCAAACUGCUGAUUCACGGAAAUGUAUAAGGCUCCUUGAAAUGGGGUUUGCAGAGCAGCUACAGGAAAUCAUCGGCCGCCUCCCCGGAGGCUACCAGACUGUCCUCUUCUCUGCCACACUGCCCAAACUGCCAGUGGAGUUCGCCCAGGCAGGUGAGUGAGUCGGGGAGCAGGGCUGGGGCCUGGGACUUGGUCAAGACCUGGGGGGCUUGUAUGUCAGUGACUCCCCCCACACCCUCCCUGUGCCCACUGCAGGCCUCAUGGAGCCUGUGCUCAUCCGGCUAGAUGUGGAUGCCAAACUCAACGAGCAGCUAAAGGUGAGGGUACCGCUGUGCCCCUUCCCAGGCCCAGAACCUGGCCCCGUGAGCCAA